UAUGGCUACAUUACAUUGAAAACACUGGUUCACAUAUGAUCACGAAAGUUAAGCAACAUCGAGUAUGGUCAGUACCGAGAUGCAUGACCUCAUGGGAAUAG
Acanthosepion pharaonis is the source of this 101-nucleotide non-coding RNA. The record is from the annotation of a GenBank genome assembly. Lineage: Eukaryota; Metazoa; Mollusca; Cephalopoda; Sepiida; Sepiidae.